UGGGGAAUCUUGCGCAAUGGGGGAAUCCCUGACGCAGCGACGCCGCGUGCGGGAUGAAGGCCUUCGGGUUGUAAACCGCUUUCAGCAGGGACGAGGCCUUAUGGUGACGGUACCUGCAGAAGAAGCUCCGGCUAAAUACGUGCCAGCAGCCGCGGUAAUACGUAUGGAGCAAGCGUUAUCCGGAUUCAUUGGGCGUAAAGCGCUCGUAGGCGGUCUGUUAGGUCGGCAAGUUAAAUCCGGGGGCUCAACCCCCGUCCGCUUCCGAUACCGGCAGACUUGAGUUUGGUAGAGGAAGGUGGAAUUCCUAGUGUAGCGGUGGAAUGCGCAGAUAUUAGGAAGAACACCGGUGGCGAAGGCGGCCUUCUGGGCCAUAACUGACGCUGAGGAGCGAAAGCUAGGGGAGCGAACAGG
Molecule: ribosomal RNA, 411 nt
Filed under: Verrucomicrobiota bacterium
Lineage: Bacteria; Pseudomonadati; Verrucomicrobiota
Description: Verrucomicrobia bacterium partial 16S ribosomal RNA
Rfam family: Bacterial small subunit ribosomal RNA
Source: RNAcentral